Molecule: ribosomal RNA, 397 nt
Filed under: uncultured bacterium
Lineage: Bacteria
Description: bacterial SSU rRNA
Rfam family: Bacterial small subunit ribosomal RNA
Source: RNAcentral
AACGAACGCUGGCGGCAUGCCUAAUACAUGCAAGUCGAACGAGAAAGCCCUUCGGGGUGAGUACAGUGGCGCACGGGUGAGUAACGCGUAGGUGACGUGCCUAUUAGUGGGGGACAACCAAGGGAAACUUUGGCUAAUACCGCAUGUGUUAGAGGAGAUUGAAAUACUUUAACAAAGAUGCCCUCUGUAUAUGGUAUCGCUAAUAGAUCGGCCUGCGUAGCAUUAGCUAGUUGGUGGGGUAAAAGCCUACCAAGGCGACGAUGCUUAACUGGUCUGAGAGGAUGAUCAGUCACACUGGAACUGAGACACGGUCCAGACUCCUACGGGAGGCAGCAGUAGGGAAUAUUGCACAAUGGGGAAACCCUGAUGCAGCAAUGCCGCGUGAGUGAGGAAGGCC